AGAGGCACCAACAAAAAAUUCCCCCAGUUUUUGUUUGGUGAAAUUUUUUUUCAUCUACCCAAAAUUCUGGAUUGCCGCCUACAAAACCCCAAAUUUUAGGUUAGAGCCAAAAUACUUAAAUUACUUAUUUUAUCAUUGGAAUGCCUAAAUCCUCUUAGUUCUGCAACAUCAACGCCACGAAUAGAAACAACAACUACCACGACGACGGCAACAACCACUUGCACGAUGGCAGCGCUAUUCCUUGGCUACAGCAACCGUUGUGACGACAUCGCCUCCUCUCUCACAAUCUAUUUCACACCACCCCAUCAUUUCUCUAUCGGUUUUGAGCUAAAGGGAAACUCAACUAAAAGGUUUCGAGUUCUUUUGUUUAUCAUUUCAUUUAAAUCUAUCGUUACUGAAUUGUUUACUGUGAAUACCUAUCUUUCAACUUGUAUCUCAAUUGGUGAUGUUGUUAGUUGUGCUUGGAUUUUUUUCUUUGGUUUGUGAUUGUGCUAGAAAUUAGUGAAGAUGUAUUUUUCCCUAUGAAAACAAAAAAAAACUUCUCGAAGCUAAAACAUAGUAUUAUAAUGCUAGAAUUGGAUUUCUAGAUGAUAAGGAACUAAUGAACUAAAUGUUAAUCUGUUGAAAAUUGUUUUUGUUAGUUUUAAGUUGCCAAAUAGAAUUAACUUGUUCUGAUGUAGUAAGUAAUGUUGCAUUUGAUGAGAAAAGGGCCUAAACGAGUUGGAGCCGCAUAUUAAUAAAAUAAUUAUGGAGCAUUAGUGCUUGGCACAUUUUUCUCCAUUCUGUUGCUCAUGGAUGUCUUAAAUAUUGUUUGAGAAUCCUAUAGCUUGCAUUUGUGGAAGAGAUGUAUCCUUUAUGUUUUUAGAUCUGACCUGUUUGAUUGUAAGAAAAAGUCUCGGUUAAUUGUUUACUGCAAAUUUGGAGUAUGGAGACCAGUAAAUCUUUUUUGUUUAGUUACAAUGCAAAUUAGGAUAGUAUACUGCUGUAAAUAGUAUUUGUUGUUGCCGGUUAUUAUUUUGCAAAUUGUGUGUACACAUGGUAGGGAAGUUUAUCUGGUUUUUCUCUUCUUUCCUUUUAUUUAAUCUACUACUUACUAGAACCCUUUGUUCACGAAAUGCAUUUGUACUAAACUAUUUACGUAAAGAAGCAACUUUUGAAGACAAUUUCCUCUACAUUUAUUUUCCACCCACAACACUUAAUAGUUAUCUCUCUAUUUGGCUUAAGUUGUGUUGGAUUGAAGACAUGAUAAUAAUUUAUGGCUAACAAUUUCUCAUAAUCAUCAUGAUACCACUUAGAUAAGUUACAUUAUGGCUGAUGAUUUCUAUUUGGCUUAAGUUGUGUUGGAUUGAAGACAUGAUAAUAAUUUAUGGCUAACAAUUUCUCAUAAUCAUCAUGAUACCACUUAGAUAAGUUAUAUUACGACUAAUGAUUUUUCUUUAUAAUUGUGCAUGGUUAUUAUGUUGUACGAUGUUAUGUUGAAAUAAGAGUUAUUCUAGUUGCAAUUGAGGUGCUGAACUACCAUCCAUUGGUUGAGGUGAAGAUUUAAAAUUUAUUUGCCGUUGAAGAGAGAGUUUUGGCAAUUAAAUGGAUAUUUAAUUUUGUUGUUGUUGAGAUUGUUAUAUAAAACUUUGUAAGCCUAUUAUUUUGUCAGUAAGACACUUCUUGUAUUAUUAGUAAAUACUCUAAAGUUAAUAUGAUUUAGCUAUUUUGAUAUG
Long non-coding RNA from Cicer arietinum (chickpea), 1715 nucleotides. RefSeq lists it as uncharacterized. NCBI's taxonomy places the organism in Eukaryota, Viridiplantae, Streptophyta, Magnoliopsida, Fabales, Fabaceae. The record is from RefSeq and is a predicted model, not a curated record.